RNAcentral lists this long non-coding RNA (426 nucleotides) under Physcomitrium patens. Its description in RNAcentral is "long non-coding RNA (PPAT_LNC003311)". The record is from RNAcentral. Lineage: Eukaryota; Viridiplantae; Streptophyta; Bryopsida; Funariales; Funariaceae.
CUCAACCAAGUUCUAAUUUAAUACUAGUUGAAACCCUAAUGGACUUCAAUCAAAUCCUAGACAAAUCCUAAAUCCUAAAUCAAAUCCUAGACCGAAUCCAAGAUCCUAAACCAAACCUUGAAUCAUACCCUAGACAAACCUUAAAUCCUAAAUCAAAUCCUAUACCAAAUCCUAGAUCCUAAACCAAAUCCAAAAUCAAAUCCUAGACAAAUUCUAAAUCUUAAACCAAAUCCUAAACCAAAAUCUAAAUCAAAUCCUACAUUAAAUCCUACACCCUAAAUCAAAUCUUAAAUCAAAUCCUAGACAUAUCCUAAAUCCUAAAUCAAAUCCUAAACAAAUUCUAAACCAAACCCUAAACAAAUCAUAAAUCUUAAACCAUAUCCUAGACAAAUCCUAAAUCCUAAAUCAAACCUUAAACCAAAUCCC